This 68-nucleotide transfer RNA is filed under the name Hime japonica. RNAcentral describes it as "tRNA-Phe". The record is from RNAcentral. Lineage: Eukaryota; Metazoa; Chordata; Actinopteri; Aulopiformes; Aulopidae.
GUUAAUGUAGUUUAAUCAAAAUAUAACACUGAAGAUGUUAAGAUGGGCCCUAGAAAGCCCCAUGGACA